UGAAAAUGUUUUAACAAUAGGAUUUGCUAGG
Molecule: non-coding RNA, 31 nt
Filed under: Mus musculus (house mouse)
Lineage: Eukaryota; Metazoa; Chordata; Mammalia; Rodentia; Muridae
Source: RNAcentral